Molecule: long non-coding RNA, 989 nt
Organism: Myzus persicae (green peach aphid)
Lineage: Eukaryota; Metazoa; Arthropoda; Insecta; Hemiptera; Aphididae
Exons: 3
Source: RefSeq, a predicted model, not a curated record
UGUUGUCAACUGCAUGGACUCAGGUUUCAUAACAUACGCUCAACUAUCAUAAACAUUUAAGCAGUACAACACAUUAACACAUUGUAUUAUAUAGUGCUGGAUUGCUGAUGCAGCUCUUAUAGUGCCGCCGUGAACCGAAGCGCCUGCAAGCUGCAGGAGGUCGCGCACUCCGAGAAGUGUAUUAUUCAGUUGUGGGCUAGGUGCAUAUUAAUCAAGCGACUUAACAUCGUGUGACGUGUACUGCGAGAGCGUGGUAACUAUGGUUACAACUGGUAACCAUACUGGCAUAGAAGUUAAGCGGUAGUCAGUCCUUGGUAUAGUGGGUUGCAACUUGGUCAUUACAUGAUACCAAAAAAGUAGUGUCCAAUCACAAUACGAUUUGACCGACACCGCACAACACACACGACGCGUAGUUGUACUUGAUAAACAACUCAUAUACCAGUUACCGCGUCGGAGGCAAGUAUAUACCCCUAUAAGAUAAAUGUACAUCACUAUGCCAUAAUAAUAUUGUGUAGGUAUUGUGUAGAAAUUGUCGACAUUUUGUUAUAAACCAAAUAUGAGAUGGAUUAUCUGCAGUGAUCUUGGAGUAGGUACGUUGAAUAACUUGAAGUGCCGACAUGUUUUGCAGCUCUAUCACUCUGAAAGAAAAUGUAUGCACAGCUCAAAAAACGAAAACGUAAGCAAUUGUUUAAAGCGUAUCGAAACAUUCGAUACACAUAUACUGCGGUAAAUAUAUAUUAUACAGUGUUUGAAAUGUCAAUCUAAAAAUUUAUUAUAAUUUUUAUAUUGUAUCAUGAUUUUUUUUUAAAUCUUUGACAACUGUAGUACCUAUAUGGUUCUCCGCCCCGCUGGACUCGGAAGUACAUUUUGUGGCAUGUUUUUUAUGUAAUGAUUAACCAUACAUUUGCUAACCAUAUAUGUAUACAAUGAUUUAAACGUUCAUAGAAAAUAUAGAUUUUUCAUUUAGAAAAACCAUCGAUUUUCUGUUU